AACAAGGUUUCCGUAGGUGAACCUGCGGAAGGAUCAUUACAACGUAUCCACGUACCAAACUCUCGAACUGUUCCCGACGGAGCAAAGCGCACUUGUGUGUGUAAGAAGUUAAUGGCCGGCUGUCUUUCGCUGAUGGAGUUCAAUGACUUUUGUCUGAGGACUGAAAGGCUUUGGAGCUCCGGCUCUGGGGCUUUGUUUGCUUCGUUGCGGUUUCUACCGUCAGCGUGUUUUACCAUUAUUAACCCUUUGAACUCUUGAACUGAACUUGAAAGCCUCGCAACCGUCCUAGUUGGCUUCGGUCACGGACAGUGUGGCUUGGUUUUUAUCGUUUUACGAAACAAAGAACAACUCUUAGCAACGGAUAUCUUGGUUCUC
Molecule: unclassified non-coding RNA, 375 nt
Filed under: fungal sp.
Lineage: Eukaryota; Fungi
Description: partial internal transcribed spacer region
Source: RNAcentral